UGGUCCUGGCCUUUAAAUCAAUUAUUACUUAACUUACACAUGCAAGUCUCCGCACCCCCGUGAGGACGCCCCCAAACCCCUUUAGGGGUCAGGAGCUGGUAUCAGGCUCAAUUUUUAGCCCAUGACACCUAGCCACGCCACACCCACAAGGGCAUUCAGCAGUGAUUAACAUUGAAUAUAAGCGUAAGCUUGAUUCAGUCAGAGUAAAGAGAGCCGGCAAAUUUGGUGCCAGCCGCCGCGGCCACACCAGUGGCUCAAAUUGAUUUCACUCGGCGUAAAGCGUGAUUAAAGCUUCUUUAAACUGCAGUUAAACUGGAACUAUACAGUGAAAUCAUGGUACCCAAGAAACACAAAAACGAAAGUUACUGCAAGACAACCCACUUGACUUCACGACAGUUAGGACACAAACUGGGAUUAGAUACCCCACUAUGCCUAACCGUAAACUUUAAAUUUACACUCAAAUCGCCAGGGAACUACGAGCAAUGCUUAAAACCCAAAGGACUUGACGGUACCCUACACCACCUAGAGGAGCCUGUCCUAUAAUCGAUGAUCCCCGUUUAACCUCACCACUCUUUGCCUUUCAGUCUGUAUACCUCCGUCGUCAGCUUACCACGUGAGCGAUUUCAGUAAGCAUAAAGGUCUUCACACCAAAACGUCAGGUCAAGGUGCAGCUUAUAGAGUGGGAAGAGAUGGGCUACACUCUCUAACAUAGAAUAUACGAAAGACUACUUAUGAAAUUUUAGUCAGAAGGCGGAUUUAGUAGUAAGGCGAGACAAUAGAGCUCGCUUAAACACGGCCCUGGGGUGUGUACACACCGCCCGUCACCCUCUUCGAAAACCCCCUUAAAAACAGUAUUUAACACCUUAUUAUUAUAAAGAAGAGGCAAGUCGUAACAUGGUAAGCUUACCGGAAGGUGUGCUUGGAAA
This 926-nucleotide non-coding RNA is filed under the name Scinax cf. wandae. RNAcentral describes it as "partial 12S small subunit ribosomal RNA". It matches the Rfam family "Bacterial small subunit ribosomal RNA". Lineage: Eukaryota; Metazoa; Chordata; Amphibia; Anura; Hylidae. The record is from RNAcentral.